GUGCUCCCUCCCCUCGCUGCUCACCUUGGUUCCCAAGAGCCGGGCGGCCGCAGUAAGUAAAGCCAUGGCGGGCGAUCUCCGGGAUCUGGUGGGGAGGUAAGAAAGGGAGAGAGCUGCGGCAGGAACAGGAGCCGCCGCCGCUGCACCAGAGGCCGCGCCGACGGGUUGACAAGGUUGAAAGGAGGCGGCUGAAGGAAAGAGUAGACGAACCGGCGGCGGCGCCCAGCCCGGGGUCCUCAAGGAGGCCCCGCCCACUGGCCGGAACCCGAGCCCGCCCCUCUCAAGGGACUCUCCCCGGGCCCGGCCAUUGGUCCGGUAUGGAAGCGGGGCGGGACCUUAGCCCUUGACAGCAGUUGUGACGGGGAGGAUUGGACCGCCCGGAUUAGGGCUAAUUAAGGGUGGAUGGGUGGCGGGCGGGGAAGUGCGGGUGGCUAAAUAGGUGCCUGAUAACUCAGUUAACUUCCCUCUUGGCUUUUCCCUUUGACCUUAACACUUUUGGGGUUAUCUCUGAGGCGAAUGCUAAAGGAGACGCUCCAGGACUCGACCUCUGAAGGUCCUUGGAGCCAAUUCCGUAAUAUGAUCAUGGAAACUGAUCAUUGCCUGAUCCUUCUACCGCCUUGGCGCGCUUUCUUGAGGAAUGUCUUUGGUUAAUGGCUUCACGGCCAUGGAGGUGACAUCAUGUGGACAACAGGCUAGGAUGCCAGAGUUAGCUGCUCGGUGGAGAUCAUUUGAGGUCAGCAGAGGCCACGAUAUUAUAGAUACUAACAGACCCCGAUAUGGGGAGAAAAGCAAAAGCAGGAGCCUGAAUAUCCAGUGCUUUGUGAGCUGUCAGUUCUGUGUGUAAUGGCAGGAAAUCCAAGUCUUAACUGCGCCCUUACUAUGAAGGCUUUCCGAGCCAGCCACAGCUUCUGGGUCAUGGGCAUUAGUCUCACUGCCACUCUGGUCACGUAACCCCACACAGCAGCUCACCCCACUUUAGCCACAGAUUAGGAGCCGCAGACUAGCCCCUCAUCGAAGAUCCCCUUUGGUCACAUUCUCUAGGGCCUCUGGGCCACUUCUCCUACUUGGCAGUCUUCUAUGCUCUCUUAUCUUGUGCUCCCCAGAGACCAUGACACGACCCUGAAGUGAUAUUCCGCACCACUUUCUAAAUCCUCUGGGUAGACGAGGCUUCAGGACUUUUGUGCCUCCCUAAGCCUGUCGUAGUCAUUGACCCCAAGGACAAGAGCAUCUUAUCUACAAACCUCCAGCCCCAAGUGAAAAGCCUUUUUUUUUUUUGGAGACAGAUCUUGCUCUGUAGCUGAGGCUGGAUUGCAGUGGUGCGAUCUCAGCCUCCUGAGUAGCUGGGAUUAUAGGCGCCCGCCACCACGCCCAGCUAAUUUUUGUAUUCUUAGUAGAGAUGGGGUUUUGCCAUGUUGGUCAGACUGGUCUCGAAAUCCUGACCUCAGGUGAUCCACCCGCCUCGGGCUCCCAAAGUACUGGGAUUACAGGCGUGAGCCACCGUGCCCAGCUGUGAAUAGCCCUUUUAUCUCACCACAUAGCAGUAACAAGGAUCACAGGUCUCAGUAUCCACCUAAGCCAGGUUUAGAUAGAUCUCCUUUACAAAGAACCGAGUUUCUAGCUUGGACUUGGAAAAAGAGAUAGAAAACCCCUAUUUUCUCUUCUUAAUUUUCUUUAUACUCAGCUUCACACCUAACAACCAAUGCUCUUCUGGCCUGGGGAUCAGAUAGUUAGGUCUCAGGAAAAAACUUUAGGCAAUGCUCCAGAGGAGCACUGACCUCAGCUACCUUUGAAGACCCCGGUGACUUCAAAGCUUCACUGAUCAAUAUUUGCUCCCCAUUUAGCAUCUCAUAAAGGAUUUCCACAUAACCCUAGAAUAGUCUGACCUGGUUCCUUUUCUCUGGUUAAUUAUCCACAGAGACUAACCAGCAGACCACAGGACUGAACUUCAGUGCCCCAGGAUGAGACUACCAAAGGGACAAUUAUUGAGAGGCCACAGGAUCAUCUGUCUUGGAGCUUUAGUGAUUGGGUGGGGAACAGCAAUGCUCUAAGCCUCUCGACACUGGGUCCCAGAGCCCCUAGUGCCAUGGGGACUUUAUGGACUUGUUUUGAAGUUGUCCAAUCCUGACAUCGACUGCUAUAAGGGCAAUUGGAAAGCACAGGAUCAAAGCGGCUAACUGGCAUCUCCCAGGAGCUGGCCUAGAUUCCUUCUCAACACUGAUGGGACCUGGGGAGGUUGGAGAGAAUGUUAAGGAAGAAAGAUUGGCAUGAAUAAAGCAGCCAAGUGAGCUCUAGGUCCAGGUAUAACUAAGUGCUUGGGAACUUGAAGGGGCAAGGGAGAGAAGGCUGAGAAUUUAGGUUGUUGUGACCUUGGGAGGACCUCUUUAAAGUGUAGGGAGGCAAUAGCACCCCCUAGUGGCAAAGGACAAGUGGGCUAAUAAAAUCUAAAUUUAAACCCUUAAACUACAAGGUAAACCAAACGCCUCUAUUUAAUAGAUAAUAGCUAAAACUUAAACUGGAGGAUCCCUUACUAUUUGCAGAUACUAUCUAAAUGUGGAACAUGCAUUAUCUUUUUUUUUUUUUUUUUUUUUUUGGAGAUAGAGUCUUGUUCUGUUGCCCAGCCUGGAGUGCAGUGGUAUGAUCUCGGCUCACUGCAACCUCCACCUCCUAGGUGGCACACGCCGCCACGCCUGGCUAAUUUUUUUUUUUUUUUCUAUUUUAGUAGAGAUGGGGUUUCACCAUGUUGCCCAGGCUGGUCUCCAAAGUGCUAGGAUUACAGGCAUGAGCCACUGUGCCUGGCCUGGAAUGUGCAUUAUCUUAAUCUUUGCAACAACUCUAAGUUUCAAGGUAUUAAAAAAUAAAAAGAAGAGAAAACCAAGACUUAGAUGAAGUAUCCUACCCAGUGUCAUAGCUUGUAAUUGGCAUGGCUAUAAAUUCAGACCAAGGUCAGCAUUACUAGGCUGUAUUUCUUUUUCUUUUUUUUUUUUUGAGAUGGAGUCUCACUGUGUAGCCCAGGCUGGAGCGCAGUGGCACAAUCUCAGCUCACUGCAACCUCUGCCUCCCUGGUUCAAGCGAUUCUUCUGCCUCCGCCUCCCAAGUAGCUGGGAUUACGGGCGCAUGCCACCACACUCAGCUAAUUUUUGUAUUUUUAGUAGAGACAAGGUUUCACUAUGUUGGCCAGGUUGGCCACUGCGCCUGGCCCUAAGCUGUAUGUCUUACAUGAUGAUUAUGAUUUUUUUUUUUUUUUUGAGAGAAGGUCUUGCUCUGUAACCCAGGCUGGAACGCAGUGGCAUGAUCGUUGCUCACUGCUGCCCAACUUCCUGGCCUCAAGCGAUCCUCCCACCUCACUCUCCCAAGUAGCUGGGACUACAGGUACUCACCACCACACCUGGCUAAUUUUUCCUUUUUUUUUUUUUUAGAGACAGGGUCUUGCCAUGUUGCCCAGGCUGGUCUUGAACUUCUGGGCUCAAGUGAUCCUCCUUCCUUGGUCUCCCAAAGUGUUGGGAUUACAAGCAUGAGCCACCACAUCUGGCAAUUGUGAACUAUCAGCUGCAACUCAGUAAGGGGAUUUUUGAGUCACUGUCAACUGUCUCCUGGAGACAUCAACUCACUGUGUUGCUAUAAAGAUAUUUCGGCCGGGCAUGGUGGCUCACGCCUAUAAUCCCAGCACUUUGGGAGGCCGAGGCGGGUGGAUCACAAGGUCAGGAGAUUGAGACCAUCCUGGUUAACACGGUGAAACCCUGUCUCUACUAAAAAUACAAAAAGUUAGCCGGGUGUGGUGGCGGGCGCCUGUAGUCCCAGCUACUCGGGAGGCUGAGACAGGAGAAUGGCGCAAACCCAGGAGGCGGAGCUUGCAGGGAGCCAAGAUUGUGCCACUGCACUCCAGCCUGGGCAACAGAGCGAGACUCCGUCUCAAAAAUAAAUAAAUAAAUAAAAAGAUAUUUAAGCCAAGCAAGGUGGAAUGUGCCUGUAGUUUCAGUUGCUAGGGAGGCUGAGGCAGGAGGAUUGCUUGAGCCCAGGAGUUUGAGGCUAUAGUGCCUAAUGAUCAUGCCUGUGAACAGCCACUGUACUCCAGAUUGGGCAACAUAGUGAGACCUUUUCUCUAAAAAAAACAUAAAAAUAAAAGAUAAGGAACUAUAGUCUUACUCAUCUGUAAAGACUUUCACAUCCAUAUGUGAACUAGAUAAUAAAUGGUGACUCCCAGAAUACAUAAAGGUAGGAGAGACAAACAUUCAGCAUUUGAAAUGACCAGAAAGGGGGCUGGGUGUGGUUUCUCAUGCCUAUAAUCCAGGCGUGGUAGUCUCAGCACUUUGGAAGGCCAAGGCAGGAGGAUCACCUGAGACCAGGAAUUCAAGUCCACCCUGGGCAACAUGAUGAAAUUCCACCUCUACAAAAAAUGUAAAAAUUAGCCAGUCCAGGUGGUGUGCGCCUAUAGUCCCAGCUACUGGGGCGGCUGAGGUUGGAGGAUCAGUUGAGCUGAGGAGGUUGAGGCUACAGUGAGCCAUGAUCAUACCACUGCACUCCAUGUACUCCAUUCCAGCCUGGGCGACUGAGCAAGCUUGUCUCAAAUACUACAGCCCAGGCAUUGUGGCUCACUCCUGUAAUCCCAGAAUUUUGGGAGGCCAAGACAGGCAGAUUACUUGAGGUCAGGAGUUUGAGACCAGCCUGGCCAACAUGUUGAAACCCCGUCUCUACUAAAAAUACAAAAAUUAGGCUGGGCGCAGUGGCUCAUGCCUGUAAUCCCAGCACUUUGGGAGACUGAGGCGGGCAGAUCACCUGAGGUUGGGAGUUUGAGACCAGCCUGACCAACAUGGAGAAACCCUGUCUUUACUAAAAAUACAGAAUUAGCCGGGCAUGGUGGUGCACGUCUGUAAUCCCAGCUACUUGGGAGGCUCAGGUAGGAGAAUCACAUGAGCAGGGGAAGCAGAGGUUGCAGUGAGCCGAGAUUGCAUCACUGCGCUCCAGCCUGGGCAAGAGCGAGACUCUGUCUCAAACAACAACAACAGCAAAAACAAACAAAAAAUGACCAGAAAGGUAAAAGGGGUGUCUUAUAAGGAAUAGUCAGGAAAAAUGGCUGAACAGAGGAUAUAAUGCUUUUCCACUACAGAUUACUAGAAUCAGAGGGCAUACAUUCAAACUUGGAGACAGUUUUUCAAGCCAUAUUUAAAAAGUGCUACUUUAUACAGCCACUUGGAGACUCCACUACAUAGAAUGAGGUAUAACAGAAAGAUGACUGGACUAGGGAUUAGAGGAUGACUGGACUACGGAUUAGAGGAUCACUGGGGUUGAAGUCUUGGCUCCUCGCUGACUAGCAAGACACUUAAUCUCUCUGAGCUUAGUUUCUUCAUCUAUAAAAUAGGAAUAACAUCUAUUUCUUAGAGUUGCAAAGAUUAAAUGAGGCCAGGCAAGGUGGCUCACAUUUGUAAUCCUGGCACUUUGGGAGGCCAAGAGGAUCACUGGAGCCCAGGAGUUUGAGACCAGCCUGGGCAAAACAGCAAGAUCCCAUCUCUACGAAACAUUUUUUAAGUUAGUUGGGCCUGGUGAUGCGCGUCUGUAGUCCCAGCUACUCAGGAGGCUGAGGUGGGAGCAUUGCUGGAGCCUGGGAGGUGGAGGUUGCAGUGAGCCAUAAUCUCACCACUGUACUCCAGCCUGGACAACACAGCAAAACCCUGUCUCAAAAAAAAAAAAAAAAAAAAGAAAAAAAAGAUUAAAUGAGUGUGUAUGUGCUUGUUAUACAAGUAUUCAGCAUAUAUUAUUUCCCUUCCCCAUGCUAUUUAUUCCUAUUUAUUUAUGACAGGGUCUGGCUCUGUCACCCAGGCUGGAGUGCAGUGGCAAGAUCUCAGCUCACGGCAACCUCCUGGGCCCAAGCCACCCUCCCACCUCAGCCUCCUGGGUGGCUGGGACUACAGGUGUGCCCUGCCUGGUUAAUUUUUGUAUUUUUUGUAGAGAUGGGGUUUCUCCAUGUUGCCCAGACUGGUCUUGAAUUUCUGAACUCAAGUGAUCCGCUGCCUCAGCCCCCAAAACUGCUGGGAUUACAGGCGUGAACCACUGCACCUGGCCCCUGUCCUAUAUUUAAAGGAAUAUUGUACCUAUGAAUGCUUUUUAAGUUAAAAAAUCCUAUAAAAGUUUUUUUUUUUUUUUUUUCGGCCAGGCAGUGGCUCAUGCCUGUAAUCCCAGCACUUCGGGAGGCCAAAGUGGGUGGAUCAUUUCAGAUCAGGAGUUCAAGACCAGUCUGGCCAACAUGGUGAAACCCCACCUCUAUUAAAAAUACAAAAAUUAGCCGGGCAUGGUGGCAGGCACCUGUAGUCCCAGCUACUUGGGAGGCUGAGGCAGGAGAAUCACUUGAACCUGGGAGGUGGAGGUUGCAGUGAGUCGAGAUCAUGCCACUUCACUUUUUUUUUUUUUUUUUUUGAGACAGGGUCUUGCUCUGUUGCCCAGGCUGGAGUGCAGUGGCGAGAUCAUGACUCACUGCAAUCUCGAUCUCCCUGGCUCAAGCAGUCCUCCCACCUUAGCCUACUGAGUAGCUAGGACUACAGAUGCCUGCCACUAUACCCAGCUAAUUUUUUUGCAUAGACAGGGUCCUGCUAUGUUGUCCAGGGUGGUCUCAAACUCCUGGGCUCAAAAGAUCCUCCUGCCUCAGCCUCCCAAAGUGUUGGGAUUAUAGGUGUGAGCCACUGCAUCUGGACUAAACCUUUUUUUGAGUCGCACUUUAUUGCCCAGGCUGAAGUGCAGUGGCGCAAUCUUCACUGUAACCUCUGCCUCCCUAGUAGCUGGGAUUAUAGGCGCAUGCCACUACACCUGGCUAAUUUUUGUAUUUUUGGUAGAGAUGGGUUUUUGGCAUGUUGCCCAGGCUUGGUCUCGAACUCCUGGCCUCAAUUGAUCUGUCCACCUCGGCAUCCCCAAGUGCUGGGAUUACAGGCAUGAUCCACUGGGCCCAGCCCUAAAACGUAUUUCUAAAGGACUAAAUUUUCACAUAAUAAACUUUCCUGUUAUAUCUGUACCUCAUUUAACACUGUCUUCGGAAAUGUUUGUUAAGUUCUAACAUUUUACUGAUAAACUAAGUUAGAAGGCAUCUGAAGCUUGAUCAGAUUUACAAGGUUAAGAGCAUAUGCUCUACCAAAUACUGGGCUAUAAUUUAUUAUAAUGAACCUCCAGAGGGUUCAGAUAAAUUCAUGCAUUCCUUGUGAUAUGAAUUAAAACAUGUGCAAAGCCAGGCAUGGUGGUGCUUGCCUGUAAUCCUAGAAACUCAGGAGGCCAAGGCAGGAGGAUUGCUUGAAGCCAGGAGUUAGAGGCUGCAAUGAGUUAUGAUCAUGCCAUUUCACUCCAGCCUGGGCAACAGAGCAAGACCCCUGUCUCGCUAAGAUAGUAAUAAUAAUAAUGAUAAUAAUAAAAAAAAUAAGAGGUUUACAAAGUGUAUCUUCCUGCUGGGCACGGUGGCUCACGCCUGUAAUCCCAACACUUUGGGAGGCUGAGGCAGGCGGGUUACUUGAAGCCAGGAGUUUGAGACCAGCCUGGCCAACAUGGUGAAACACUGUCUCUACAAAAAACUCAAAAAUUAGCUGGGCAUGAUGGCACAUGCUUGUAAUCCCAGCUACUUGGGAGGCUGAGUCAGGAAAAUCACUUGAACCAGGAGGUGGAGGUUGCAGUAAGCCGAGAUUGCACCACUGCACUUCAGCCUGGGCGACAGAGCGAGACUCUCCCUCAGGAAAAAAAAAACAAAAAACAAAAAAACCCCACAAAGUGUAUCCUUAAUCAAGCCUAGAAGGUAACAUCCACCCUUUCCUAUAUAGGACAUAUCCUUUGUGUACCAAUGACAAAGUCUCUCCAGCUGGAGAGUUCUUAACAGCUGUACUUUGACAAACCAGAAAGGUGCAUCACAAGUAACUUGUUACUGAUUAACAUUAAAUUUAUUUAUUUAAAACUAUGAAUAAUUUGUUUUCUAAAUUAAAACAGUUUUAAGUUUCCAGAAGAGAACUCUCUUUAUUGUAUUUGAGACAGGGUCUCACUCUGUUGCCUAGGCUAGAGUGCAGUAGUGCAAUCACAGCUCAGUGCAGCCUCAGCCUCCUGGGUUCGAGAGAUCUUGCCACCUUGGCCUCCAGAGUCGCUGGAACCACAGGUGCACACCAUUAUGCCGGCUAAUUUUUGUAUUUUUUGUAGCAAUGGGGUCUCACUAUAUUGCCUAGGCUGGUCUCAAACUCCUGGACUCGAGUGAUCAUGAUCCUUCCACCUUGGCCUCCCAAAGUGUUGGGAUUAUGGGCACGAGCCACCGCAUUUGGCUUGAAGAGUACUCUCAUUUAUACUUCUGAUAAGCUUUCUGAUGGAAAAGAAAGGCAUUUUUAGGCACGAAGCACGAAAUGGACAGCACCUUGGGUAUACUUUCAGGGACAUGAAAAAAUGUAAUUAUUACUUAUAUGCAUCAUAGAAGAAAAAAUAAGCUUUAUAAUAGUUGGUUUGGAAAACUAGAGCGAACACAGCAUUUCUUAUGGAUGAUGGGAGAAGAUGGAAUUAACACCAGGCUGAUAUUAGUUGACAACAAAUAUCAGAGUGCUUGCUCUGUGCUCUAGUUAAUUUGUCAGAUUUCACAGGGAUUUUUGGUACAAGAAAGCUUUGUGGAAUAUAUGCAUUCUAUGCGCCAGGCUUAGUGCAAGGUAUUAUUAGAGAAAAAAGACUUAAAAUAGAAGGUACUCUAUAGCUAUAUUAGAUCAGGUCAGCACUUGGGAAAGUUAGCUUAUAGACCCAGUUUUGCCAUUAAAUACAGAACUUCAUAAAGUUCUAUGGCUUCUCUGGGCCUCAGCUUCUUCAUCAAUAAAAUGGGCAGAGGUGAACCAGACGACCUCUAAGGUUCCUUUAGAUUCUAAAAUGAUGUAAUUUUUAAAACCUUUGAAAUGUUUAUUCAGGUCUUCUCUCCUUGAGGUGUUCUUGGGACCGGAGAUAUUCCAUUUGAAACCCUGAGACAACCAUACCUCAAGCUCAGAGUGCUUAAGAAUUUUCUGCCAGGUGCGGUGGCUCACACCAGUAAUCCCAGCAUUUGGGGAGGCCAAGGCGGGCGGAUCACGAAGUCAGGAGAUCGAGACCAUCCUGGCUAACAUGGUGAAACCCCGUCUCUACUAAAAAUACAAAAAAUUAGCCGGGCGUGGUGGCGGGUGCCUAUAGUCCCAGCUACUUGGGAGGCUGAGGCAGGAGAAUGGUGUGAACCCGGGAGGCGAAGCUUGCAGUAAGCCGAGAUCGCGCCACUGUACUCCAGCCUGGGCGAUAGAGCGAGACUCUGUCUCACAAAAAAAAAAAAAAAAAAAUUAGCCGGUGUGGUGGCGGGCGCCUGUAGUCCCAGCUACUCGGGAGGCUGAGUCAGGAUAAUGGCGUGAACCUGGGAGGCAGAGCUUGUAGUGAGCCGAGAUCGCGCCACUGUACUCCAGCCUAGGCGACAGAGCGGGACUCCAUCUCAGAAAAAAAAAGAAAAAAAGAAUUUCCCAAAAGAAGGUAUCCUUUAGGUUUUCAUCCCUAUGCCCCAGUCUGGAAUCUCUACACACAGAAUUGUGGACAGACUUAUAGUCCAGAUUGACAAUGGCUAGUGAUAGAUACACUUUAUUGUUGCCACUGGCAUCAAAUUUAAAAGCUUAGGCUGGCAAGCAAGGCCUCUCAUUAAACAACCUUCCUUACCUCGUCUGUCCCUAUCCGAUAAAGCCCUUACUUUUCAGCUGAGUUGGUCACAUCCAUUUUCCCCUUCCUGUCUCUGUUCUUGCUGGUCCCUCCAUCUGGAUGGGCAGGGAAGGAAGAAUAAUGCAUAUCCGUUAUUUCCUUCAAGACCAAGCCCUGUCUUACUUUAUGUUUCAACAGCCAUGAACACAAGGGAUUUCUAGAAUUCUACACUACCAUACACUAUGUUCCCCUGCUUCCUCAUGGAGGUUCCUCUAUUCUCCACAAUUAGACUCUAAAGACGUGGUAUUGAGUGGGCACUGACUGAAAGCUUAUCUAGUUUAUGAGUGGAGUGGAAUCUCAGAAGGUAGAAGAAUUAAAGGUUCAGGCCUCUCCUACCUUUAUCCUGUAUCAAUCCCAAAACUCUUCUUUCUCCUCCAUUAUCUUUCCUGUCUAUAUAACUC
Molecule: long non-coding RNA, 10094 nt
Filed under: Homo sapiens (human)
Lineage: Eukaryota; Metazoa; Chordata; Mammalia; Primates; Hominidae
Description: HSALNT0368530
Source: RNAcentral